GACAGAGGGUGCAAACGUUGUUCGGAAUUACUGGGCGUAAAGCGCGUGUAGGCUGCUCUGCAAGUCGGAUGUGAAAGCCCUGGGCUCAACCUAGGAAGUGCACUCGAAACUGCAGAGCUUGAGUCUCGGAGAGGAUCGCGGAAUUCUCGGUGUAGAGGUGAAAUUCGUAGAUAUCGAGAGGAACACCGGUGGCGAAGUCGGCGAUCUGUACGAUGACUGACGCUGAGACGCGAAAGCGUGGGGAUCAAACAGG
RNAcentral lists this ribosomal RNA (253 nucleotides) under uncultured bacterium. RNAcentral's name for it is "partial 16S ribosomal RNA". It matches the Rfam family "Bacterial small subunit ribosomal RNA", at positions 524 to 776 of the family's 1533-position model. The record is from RNAcentral.